Molecule: ribosomal RNA, 402 nt
Filed under: bacterium
Lineage: Bacteria
Description: partial 16S ribosomal RNA
Rfam family: Bacterial small subunit ribosomal RNA
Source: RNAcentral
UGGGGAAUUUUGCACAAUGGGGGAAACCCUGAUGCAGCGACGCCGCGUGAUUUAGAAGGCCUUCGGGUUGUAAAAAUCUUUUCUAUGGGAAGAAAAUGACAGUACCAUAGGAAUAAGGACCGGCUAAUCACGUGCCAGCAGCCGCGGUAAUACGUAAGGUCCGAGCGUUGUCCGGAAUCAUUGGGCGUAAAGGGUACGUAGGCGGGUAAGCAAGUUAGAAGUGAAAUCCUAUAGCUCAACUAUAGUAAGCUUUUAAAACUGCUCAUCUUGAGGUAGGGAAGGGAAAGUGGAAUUCCUAGUGUAGCGGUGAAAUGCGCAGAUAUUAGGAGGAAUACCGGUGGCGAAGGCGACUUUCUGGCCAUAACCUGACGCUGUGGUACGAAAGCGUGGGUAGCAAACAGG